GGACCUGACUGCUAUCGGAUUGAUACUAAGCCAUGCGAGUCAUUGUAGCAAUACAAGGCAGACGGCUCAGUAACGCGUAGUCAACCUACCCUAUGGACGGGAAUAAACUCGGGAAACUGAGUAUAAUGCCCGAUAGAACAUUAUGCCUGGAAUGGUUUAUGUUUCAAAUGAUUUAUCGCCGUAGGAUGGGACUGCGGCCUAUCAGUUUGUUGGUGAGGUAAUGGCCCACCAAGACUAUUACAGGUACGGGCUCUGAGAGGAGUGGCCCGGAGAUGGGUACUGAGACACGGACCCAGGCCCUAUGGGGCGCAGCAGGCGAGAAAACUUUGCAAUGUGCGAAAGCACGACAAGGUUAAUCCGAGUGGUUUCUGCUAAAGGAACCUUUUGUCAGUCCUAGAAACACUGGUGAAUAAGGGGUGGGCAAGUUCUGGUGU
This 434-nucleotide ribosomal RNA is filed under the name uncultured archaeon. Its description in RNAcentral is "bacterial SSU rRNA". It matches the Rfam family "Archaeal small subunit ribosomal RNA", at positions 19 to 458 of the family's 1478-position model. The record is from RNAcentral.